CUCUGUCGACCGGUCACACCCGCAUGAGCCCUACAUCUUGAUCAGGUAAACGUACGUAGUUUGUGGGAGUUAUUAGAUUGAUCAUUGUUAGAUAUCUUCACCUUUGAUAUAGCGCCUUAUAUAAAACAAAUUACUCUAAGGUGCUUUACAAGGGUAAGAAUAAUAAUGCAACAAUAAAGCAAUUCAAUGAAAUUAAAUGACAGUAUGACAUUAUAUCUUAUAUAUGUAAAAUUUUCUAAAUAAAAAACUAUUUUUAAGAUUGAUAGCUAAAAGGUUUUUAAUAUUUUUUGUUUGAUAAUUAAAACAGUUCAGCUUCAAGAUAUUUUGACUUUUUGAUGUCAUCUGGAUGGUGUUUUUUUUUUUUUUUUUUUUUUCUGAUUUUUGUCACCACAAGUCACGACUGCGAUUCUGACCGUAAUAGUCGAAUUGGCUUGUAUUCAUUUAAAAGACUUGCGAUGUAUAACGGCGCAUAUCCGUAGAAGGAACAGUACACAUUGGUCAAAAAUAUGCAGCCGUUCACCGGCAGGGUGGUGUCUCUGUAUGAGUAAAAAUUCUCUAGAGGGACGUUAAACAAUAUACAAUCAAUCAUUCAAUCAUAAACGAGGUUGACUACGUCACCUUGUAAUCAACACACAAACACCUUUGUGCCAGAAAAAACAAAUCCAAGCACUCGUGUUCCAGAUUAAUUUAUCUACAAACCAAGGUCAGAAGUGACGUCAGCUAAAACCAGGUAAAGGUGAUCAUUCACGCACAUUUCAAUCAUAGAUAGCACUAAUGCUUUAUUUGAUACAAAAAAUCUAAACUCUUUUCUUAUUCAUCUAACACAUAUUUGGGAAUCUGUGUUCCGCCAUUUUUCUAUUAUGCGACCAAAUUAGUUCAGUGAUUCACCGAUUACUCCAUUGACUGCUUACAAGGUAACUAGGGAAAAGGCCGAGUAGUUACAUGUACGAUUGACAAACAACACAUGGGGAAAGGAAUUUCCGGUGAGUGUCUGACGAUAUAAAUUGCGGGAGCGGGACGUUGGGCGGCAGAAGCUCCAAUUGUUCGUUCUCGCUCUCAUUCAAUUUACUCAGGUGACCGAUAAAGAUCAUCAACCUGAUAUCGUGAUAAUCGCAUAAAGACAUCUAGAUAUUGCUUCAAAAAUACUGGUUAAAACAAUCCGACUAAUUCCCUGCAAUAUCUUAGACACGAUGUCUUCUAAAAGCACUCGUAUUUUGGUAUUUAUUUUGUGGGCAUCCAUCUUUCAUUUUGGACACCAAACACAACAACCCCACGAAUCAUGCGAGCCGAUUAGGAUUACUUUAUGCAAAGACUUACCAUAUAACAUGACUGUCAUGCCGAACCUUUUGAACCAUCGUAAUCAAGAAGAUGCCGGACUAGAGGUGCAUCAGUUCUUUCCCCUUGUGAAAGUCAAGUGCAGCCAAUAUUUGAAAUUGUUCCUAUGUGCAGUAUAUGCUCCAGUAUGCUCGGGCUCUGGGUACGCGAUUCCACCAUGUCGUCCCUUAUGUAACGAAGCUAGAAAUGGAUGCGAGCCAUCAAUGAGAAGAUUUGGGUUUCAAUGGCCGGACAAUUUAAUGUGUGAACAGUUUCCACAGAUGAACUGUGUCGAACCCUCAGGAUCAACUACUGUUGGAUUAGGAAUGCUUUAAAACACUUUGUACGUUUCAUAUUGUAGUAAUUUCAAUAAAAAUAACAAUAUACAUAUAAUCAAAUUAUAUCAAACCUGUAAAGCUUUAAAUAUGAGCCUCUCAGAGAGGAGGAAAUUGUCGUUUGAAGGAAAAACAUCUUGAAACACUGUAAUUACGCUGUCAUUAUCGGUUUUAGUGUAAAGUUUUCCUGAUAUCUAGUUGGUUCGGGGUUUUUUUUUCGUAUAGGAAUAUGGAUGAUUUCAUGUACGGAAAAAGUCAAAAGUACAACAAUUUCAAUUAGUUCAAUACGUGAAGAUUAAAACUCAAUGACGUAUAGAAUAUAUCUGGAGAAACAUGAUUCACAUCUUUCGACCGCAAAUAGUAAUCUUUUUUUCACAACUCUUGUGCGUUACAUCAAGUUGACCCAAACAUCCGCCAAACGUCAAAUAGAAACUUUCCCAAAACCACAGAUAACAGGCAAACUAACUGAUAUGCUCGUAUACGUGUACCCACACAAUUAUGUUAUGUCAUUCCAGCCAGGCAUAUACAGGUUCAACAACUCUUGAUCGUUCUGCAACAAGAGUUCGCUAUUUCAUAUUGUCUGCAACACAAGACUCAAGAGUUGGAAUAAAUAAGGUCAAUAAUGGACAAACGCUGCAAAACCUGUUACAUUGAUUUCACCCUUUCAGAAUAACACAGUAUAAUCAAGUGAAUAU
Ostrea edulis (European flat oyster) is the source of this 2344-nucleotide long non-coding RNA. RefSeq lists it as uncharacterized. The record is from RefSeq and is a predicted model, not a curated record. The transcript is spliced from 2 exons. NCBI's taxonomy places the organism in Eukaryota, Metazoa, Mollusca, Bivalvia, Ostreida, Ostreidae.